UGUAAACAUCCCCGAC
This 16-nucleotide microRNA is filed under the name Chiloscyllium plagiosum (whitespotted bambooshark). RNAcentral describes it as "microRNA cpl-miR-30d". The record is from RNAcentral. Lineage: Eukaryota; Metazoa; Chordata; Chondrichthyes; Orectolobiformes; Hemiscylliidae.